UUCCCUGAGGAUGAUGAGAAAAAAUAACAUUCUUUCUUCCGAGUUUUCCAUGGUGAAUAUUUAUAUACGGAGACAUGAACUGAAGAGAC
RNAcentral lists this small nucleolar RNA (89 nucleotides) under Phaseolus vulgaris (common bean). RNAcentral describes it as "Small nucleolar RNA Z159/U59". It matches the Rfam family "Small nucleolar RNA Z159/U59". From Rfam's summary of the family: This family consists of several snoRNA Z159 or U59 sequences which are members of the C/D class of snoRNA which contain the C (UGAUGA) and D (CUGA) box motifs. This family seems to be found exclusively in rice. Lineage: Eukaryota; Viridiplantae; Streptophyta; Magnoliopsida; Fabales; Fabaceae. The record is from Rfam by way of RNAcentral.